GGACUGCUGAGUCUGCUGCAGCUGCUUUUUCAUGCUCUGCUUUCAGGGAAGCAGAAACGCAGCCUCCACCUAAAACACCAGGAUCAGGACAUCAUCAUCUUCUCCCCAGCAACAUCUGGAAUAUUAACAGGCUGGAGUGGGGUUGGAGUUGCAUUGCCUGAACCAAUCUCUAGCAGGAGCCUCCCCUCACUGCUCCCAAGAAAGGAAAAGCAGCGGCGAACGCAAUGAACAACUUUCUGGAUCUGCAGGACUUCUGAUGAAAGAGCUAUUGACAUUUCCUCACCAGAGUGACACUGAGGACUGCAAGACACCUGAGCAGCCAGAUCACCCAGGGACAAUUUCUCUUCUAAACACUGAGGAUCAAGCCUACAGCAAAGAUUCCUGUGCACAUCCAGGCCUCUUUACCAGCAGGAUGGCCUCCCUGCCUUGGCAUUGCAGCCUACAGUGCACCAAGACCCAUCUAAAACAGCCGCAACUCAGCGUGAUGGUUGCCCACCUGGAGGCUUCAGCUUCAAGGAAGCAUUGAGUCAUAGAAUCAGAGAAUUGUUUCAGCUGGAAAAGACCUCUAAGGUCAUGGAGUCCAACCCUCAACCUAACAACACCAUGCUUAUUAAACCAUCUCCCAAAGUGUCAUGUCCACACAUUUCUUGGACACCUCCAGUGCUGGUGACUCCACCACCUCCCUGGGCAGCCUUUUCCAAUCCCUGUCAUUACAUUCAGUAAAGACAUUUUUCCUACUCCCCAACUAUCCUCCCCUGGCACAUUUCCUCUCAAUCUGUCACCUGAUCAUAGGCUCGCAGGAUGUCAGGGGUUGGAAAGGACCCAAAGAGAUCACUGACUCCAACCCCCCUGCCACAGCAGGACCAUACAAUUUAUCUCAGGUCACACAGGAACACAUCCAGACAGGCCUUGAAAGGCUUGAGAGGAGGCUCCACAACCUCUCUGGGGAGUCUGUUCCAGUGCUCUGGGACCCUUACAGGCAAGAAGUUCCCCCUUGUGUUGAGGUGGAACCUCCUGUGCUGCACUUUACACCCGCUGCUCCUUGGCCUAUCCCAGGCAGCAGUGAGCAGAGCUUGUCCCUCCUCUCCUGACAUCCCAGCCCUCAGAUAUUGAUAAACAUUGAUUAAAUCCCCUCUCAGUCUUCUCCAGACUAAACAGUCCCAGGUCCCUCAGCCUCUCCUCAUCAGGCAGUGCUCCAGUCCCCUAAUCAUCCUCAUAGCCCUCCCCUGGGCACUCUCCAGCAGAUCCCUGUCCCUCUUAAACCGGGGAGCCCCAAACUAAACCUGAUGCACUCACUUACACAAACUGUUCAGCAUCAGAGCAUCUCAUCUCUGUGCUCCCUCCACCUCUGUCAAGUACCUGCCCUUUCACUUCACCUACUCACCCAGCAACUGCUUUGUGCUGCUCAGUGCUAGGAGAAGAUGAAGCCACCUCUGCACUGAGCCAGCCCCUUUCAACAAGUGCAACUGGGAGGCAGAAGCAGCCCAUGAGUGCACUGGUGCAAACUUGCUGUGGCCCCAGCAGAGCUGCAAGAGCUCACGUCACCUCUCCAGGAACUUGUUUGUAUUCUUGGGAGUAUGUUGAAAAAUAUCUCUGACCCCCAAACAUUUACCUUUUGAUCGGGGGUUUCCAAUGUUGCUGUAGUGUAUUAAAGCUGAGAUGCUCAUAAAAAA
Long non-coding RNA from Pogoniulus pusillus (Red-fronted tinkerbird), 1673 nucleotides. RefSeq lists it as uncharacterized. The transcript has 3 exons. The record is from RefSeq and is a predicted model, not a curated record. Lineage: Eukaryota; Metazoa; Chordata; Aves; Piciformes; Lybiidae.